Molecule: ribosomal RNA, 390 nt
Filed under: uncultured Clostridium sp.
Lineage: Bacteria; Bacillati; Bacillota; Clostridia; Eubacteriales; Clostridiaceae
Description: bacterial SSU rRNA
Rfam family: Bacterial small subunit ribosomal RNA
Source: RNAcentral
UGGGGAAUAUUGCACAAUGGGGGAAACCCUGAUGCAGCAACGCCGCGUGAAGGAAGACGGUCUUCGGAUUGUAAACUUUUGUUCUUGGUGAAGAAGAAUGACGGUAGCCAAGGAGGAAGCCACGGCUAACUACGUGCCAGCAGCCGCGGUAAUACGUAGGUGGCAAGCGUUGUCCGGAAUUACUGGGUGUAAAGGGAGCGCAGGCGGGAAAUCAAGUUGGAUGUGAAAUGUCGGGGCUUAACCCCGGACUGCAUCCAAAACUGAUAUUCUUGAGUGAAGUAGAGGUAGGCGGAAUUCCGAGUGUAGCGGUGAAAUGCGUAGAUAUUAGGAGGAACACCAGUGGCGAAGGCGGCUUGCUGGACGACAACUGACGCUGAGGCGCGAAAGCGU